CACUGGCCCUAGAGCUGUCGGCGCCUUCCCUUUUCCUCUCCCCAUGUGUAGCCACAGGCUUCGGCAGCCAUCCUCCGUCGAACCCUGGUCCUCUGCAGGCCUCUCCCCGUGACACAAAGUCCUUGCCCCGGCCCUGCACUUAAUAGGUCCUUGCCAAGAAUACGCUGAGCUAGGACAAGAAGAUUGCUGACCUGGAAAUGUGGGAGAUGAUGUUGACACCUUUAAUAACAAGGAUGAUUUCAGAAGUUUAUUUAUUAGGGAGGGAAGAGGUAUAAAGAAACUUCAGUUAUCUGAUACAAGCUCAGUAGGGGCAGGUCUCUGUCACUAUCACACACAAGGAGGGAUGAAUUGCAAGAGGAGGAUUUUCAUGAUGGAGAGAAAAGAAGAUACCCUCUUUGGAAUCCAAGUACACUCAGCUAGUAUUUUCCAUCAUUUUGGAACCUAAUUUUCCCAUGAGACUUCCUAAAGGAAAGAAUCAGAAUCAACAUUUCAUGAAUAAAAUGCCAGAACUACAAAA
Molecule: long non-coding RNA, 517 nt
Filed under: Canis lupus familiaris (dog)
Lineage: Eukaryota; Metazoa; Chordata; Mammalia; Carnivora; Canidae
Description: lncRNA (ENSCAFG00845021798.1)
Source: RNAcentral